Molecule: small RNA, 283 nt
Filed under: Vigna angularis var. angularis
Lineage: Eukaryota; Viridiplantae; Streptophyta; Magnoliopsida; Fabales; Fabaceae
Description: Non-protein coding transcript
Source: RNAcentral
UCUGUCAGUUUUCUGUGACUACUUUUGGAAGUGAAAGAGUUAUUUUGUUCUCCAAUUUAAUGAACAGUCCAAGUUGGUGACAUUUCUUCAAUUUAUAUGCGACGGUUACACUUUCCUAAGCUUACGUUAAGAAACAGAGGGUUCCUCACUCAUUUCAUAUCUUAGUGUAUCUAGCAGUGUGAAGAAAGAAGCACAAUAAUCUUUCAUAGACAUUGUUCUGUUUCAACAACUGUGUUCUCCAUUUUUGCAUAGUUCCUCAACUUCAACAGAGAAAAAUAGGAGA